UGGGGAAUUUUGGACAAUGGGCGAAAGCCUGAUCCAGCAAUGCCGCGUGUGUGAAGAAGGCCUUCGGGUUGUAAAGCACUUUUGUCCGGAAAGAAAUCCUUGGCUCUAAUACAGUCGGGGGAUGACGGUACCGGAAGAAUAAGCACCGGCUAACUACGUGCCAGCAGCCGCGGUAAUACGUAGGGUGCAAGCGUUAAUCGGAAUUACUGGGCGUAAAGCGUGCGCAGGCGGUUUGCUAAGACCGAUGUGAAAUCCCCGGGCUCAACCUGGGAACUGCAUUGGUGACUGGCAGGCUAGAGUAUGGCAGAGGGGGUAGAAUUCCACGUGUAGCAGUGAAAUGCGUAGAGAUGUGGAGGAAUACCGAUGGCGAAGGCAGCCCCCUGGGCCAAUACUGACGCUCAUGCACGAAAGCGUGGGGAGCAAACAGGAUUAGAUACCCUGGUAGUCCACGCCCUAAACGAUGUCAACUAGUUGUUGGGGACUUCAUUUCCUUAGUAACGUAGCUAACGCGUGAAGUUGACCGCCUGGGGAGUACGGUCGCAAGAUUAAAACUUAAAUGAAUUGAC
This 566-nucleotide ribosomal RNA is filed under the name uncultured bacterium. Its description in RNAcentral is "partial 16S ribosomal RNA". It matches the Rfam family "Bacterial small subunit ribosomal RNA", at positions 355 to 914 of the family's 1533-position model. The record is from RNAcentral.